RNAcentral lists this ribosomal RNA (1370 nucleotides) under uncultured bacterium. RNAcentral's name for it is "bacterial SSU rRNA". It matches the Rfam family "Bacterial small subunit ribosomal RNA". The record is from RNAcentral.
AGAGUUUGAUCCUGGCUCAGAACGAACGCUGGCGGCGUGGAUAAGACAUGCAAGUCGAACGAGAGAAUUGCUAGCUUGCUAAUAAUUCUCUAGUGGCGCACGGGUGAGUAACACGUGAGUAACCUGCCCCCGAGAGCGGGAUAGCCCUGGGAAACUGGGAUUAAUACCGCAUAGUAUCGAAAGAUUAAAGCAGCAAUGCGCUUGGGGAUGGGCUCGCGGCCUAUUAGUUAGUUGGUGAGGUAACGGCUCACCAAGGCGAUGACGGGUAGCCGGUCUGAGAGGAUGUCCGGCCACACUGGAACUGAGACACGGUCCAGACACCUACGGGUGGCAGCAGUCGAGAAUCAUUCACAAUGGGGGAAACCCUGAUGGUGUGACGCCGCGUGGGGGAAUGAAGGUCUUCGGAUUGUAAACCCCUGUCAUGUGGGAGCAAAUUAAAAAGAUAGUACCACAAGAGGAAGAGACGGCUAACUCUGUGCCAGCAGCCGCGGUAAUACAGAGGUCUCAAGCGUUGUUCGGAAUCACUGGGCGUAAAGCGUGCGUAGGCUGUUUCGUAAGUCGUGUGUGAAAGGCGCGGGCUCAACCCGCGGACGGCACAUGAUACUGCGAGACUAGAGUAAUGGAGGGGGAACCGGAAUUCUCGGUGUAGCAGUGAAAUGCGUAGAUAUCGAGAGGAACACUCGUGGCGAAGGCGGGUUCCUGGACAUUAACUGACGCUGAGGCACGAAGGCCAGGGGAGCGAAAGGGAUUAGAUACCCCUGUAGUCCUGGCAGUAAACGGUGCACGCUUGGUGUGCGGGGAAUCGACCCCCUGCGUGCCGGAGCUAACGCGUUAAGCGUGCCGCCUGGGGAGUACGGUCGCAAGAUUAAAACUCAAAGAAAUUGACGGGGACCCGCACAAGCGGUGGAGUAUGUGGCUUAAUUCGAUGCAACGCGAAGAACCUUACCUGGGCUUGACAUGUAAUGAACAACAUGUGAAAGCAUGCGACUCUUCGGAGGCGUUACACAGGUGCUGCAUGGCCGUCGUCAGCUCGUGUCGUGAGAUGUUUGGUUAAGUCCAGCAACGAGCGCAACCCCUGUUGCCAGUUACCAGCACGUGAAGGUGGGGACUCUGGCGAGUCUGCCCAGAUCAACUGGGUGGAAGGCGGGGACGACGUCAGGUCAGUAUGGCCCUUAUGCCCAGGACUGCACACGUACUACAAUGCCCAGUACAGAGGGGGCCGAAGCCGCGAGGCGGAGGAAAUCCUGAAAACUGGGCCCAGUUCGGACUGUAGGCUGCAACCCGCCUACACGAAGCCGGAAUCGCUAGUAAUGGCGCAUCAGCUACGGCGCCGUGAAUACGUUCCCGGGUCUUGCACACACCGCCCGUCA